RNAcentral lists this ribosomal RNA (400 nucleotides) under uncultured bacterium. RNAcentral's name for it is "bacterial SSU rRNA". It matches the Rfam family "Bacterial small subunit ribosomal RNA", at positions 355 to 772 of the family's 1533-position model. The record is from RNAcentral.
UGAGGAAUAUUGGACAAUGGGGGAAACCCUGAUCCAGCGAUGCCGCGUGAAUGAAGAAGGUCUUCGGAUUGUAAAGUUCUUUCGGCGGAGAAGAUGAUGACGGUAUCCGCAGAAGAAGUUCCGGCAAACUCCGUGCCAGCAGCCGCGGUAAGACGGAGGGAGCAAGCGUUGUUCGGAAUAACUGGGCGUAAAGGGCGCGUAGGCGGUGACUUAAGUGAGGCGUUAAAGACCUGGGCUCAACCUGGGGGUUGCGUUUGAUACUGAGUGACUGGAGUACGGGAGAGGAAAGCGGAAUUCCUAGUGUAGAGGUAAAAUUCGUAGAUAUUAGGAGGAACACCGGAGGCGAAGGCGGCUUUCUGGACCGAUACUGACGCUGAGGCGCGAAAGCGUGGGGAGCAAA